Molecule: ribosomal RNA, 487 nt
Filed under: uncultured bacterium
Lineage: Bacteria
Description: bacterial SSU rRNA
Rfam family: Bacterial small subunit ribosomal RNA
Source: RNAcentral
ACUCAAAGGAAUAGACGGGGGCCCGCACAAGCAGCGGAGCGUGUGGUUUAAUUCGAUGCAACGCGAAGAACCUUACCAGGGUUUGACAUGCUUGAAGUAGAAACUCGAAAGAGGGACGACCUGUAUCCAAUCAGGAGCUUGCACAGGUGCUGCAUGGCUGUCGUCAGCUCGUGCCGUGAGGUGUUAGGUUAAGUCCUGCAACGAGCGCAACCCUCGUCGCUAGUUAAUUUCUCUAGCGAGACUGCCCGUAUAACGUGGAGGAAGGUGGGGAUGACGUCAAGUCAGCAUGGCCCUUACAUCCUGGGCUACACACACGCUACAAUGGGUGAUACAAUAGGUUGCGAUAGAGUGAUCUGGAGCCAAUCCAAAAAAUCAUCCUCAGUUCGGAUUGUAGGCUGAAACUGCCUACAUGAAGUUGGAGUUGCUAGUAACCGCAGGUCAGCACACUGCGGUGAAUACGUUCUCGGGCCUUGUACACACCGCCCGU